This is a long non-coding RNA of Amborella trichopoda, 2962 nucleotides long. RefSeq lists it as uncharacterized. NCBI's taxonomy places the organism in Eukaryota, Viridiplantae, Streptophyta, Magnoliopsida, Amborellales, Amborellaceae. The record is from RefSeq and is a predicted model, not a curated record.
CUAUUUUUGGGGCAUGGGUUUACUUCUCCCACUCAUUUUGAGUAUCCAAAAACUUCCUCAGCUCCUUUUCACACCUGAAACUCUUGCACCAGCCGGAUUUAGUGUCAGCUCUCGGAAAACACAACCUGCCUGAUUUGGUUUUUCUAUCCUCUGUGUCUUUCUCUUACCCAUCUUUCUCUCUCUCUCCGACGUUUUCUCUUACCCAUCAUCUCUCUCUCUCCCAGAUUUUCAGUUGGGUUCCCCAUCUCUCUCUCCCUCCAAUGUUUUAUUGGGUUUUCUCAACUUUAUUUGCAAAGUUUCUAUUACCAAUUGAUAAGUCUAUAUGCUGUGAUUUUCCGCUGAGCUAUGAUGAAGAACCCCUCCUCAAUAACAGUCGACUACUAUCUGAGGGCCGAAUGUUAUCGCAAAAUUGGGACACCACUGCGUUGAACACAAAAGAUGCAAGAGAAUUAGAAGAAGAAACAACUGAUGAGACAGAGUUAACCUUUAAAAAGAAACAUAGCCCGUUGACCAGAAUGCUUUAUCAUCUGGCGUAUUCAUCAGAGAAUAACACAUUUGUUCAUCUGCAAAACUUCUGCAACAUUUAACAAGUGCAAUCCUGCGACUGUCAUGAGAGAGAAUCAAAUUCCAGAACAAUUGAACACGACCCAACUGAAAAAGGUGAAGAAGUCCAGGAAGGUACGGGCCCAACAUCUUGACAACUCCAAAUGAUUUUGUGAUUGGGUUUAUCAAGAGGGAAAAAUGUUCCAUUGCCAUGUCUUCAAACUGGGUUAUCAAGAGGAUAUAUAUGUGCAAAAUACUCAAUCAAUAUGUAUGCAAACUGCGAUGGUUUGGAAAGCGCACACAAAGUGUUUGAUAAAAUGAUCAAUAAAGACUACCAUGAUUGCCUUGUAUGCGGAAAUGGACAUGAGUGAGGAGGCUUUGGAUCUCUUUGGACAAAUGGGUUCUACCAAUGCGAGCCCAAAUGAAUUUGCAUUAGUGAAUGUAUUGAUGGCUUGCACAAAGUCUGGAGACUUAGAAUUGGGUAAACAAGUUCAUGAAUACAUAGAGAGCAAUGGUAUUGAGCUUAAUUUUAGGGAAAAUUACUAAAAACAGCCCAAAUUGUACUUUCUAAACACUUUACCCCCACCCCAAUCUUUUCUCAUUUCUUUUUGGUAAAAACCAUAUUUUCUAACUAAUACCCCUCAACUGAAAAAGGUAUAUUUUGUUUGACAAAAACAACCCUUCCCAUACCUUGAACGUACGACCAAAUCCUUCUGACAGACCCCAAUAAACCUUUCACCGGACUGAGUUUCUAAACUACUGGAGUGCUUAUGAGACAACAAUAUGCCGGAUCGAAUAUCUAAAACACCGGAUUGAACCAACUCCAAUAGUAAUAUUACCGGAGUUAUACUACAAAUCACCGGUCUGCACAUUAAACAAAUUGCUGGACCGCUCAGAGACAUGACCGGACUGACCCGCUAGGAACGUAAUUGCCGAAUUGAAGCUCCAAAACUCCGAACUAUUUGACGUAGCCAUAUUCAACUAUGCCGGACUACUUCAGUGUAUUCGUCGGAGUGCUUGUGUUUCUAGGAAGCAUAUCGCCGGGGUGAUGCGGUGAAUCGCCGGACCGCAAAAUUUCCAGGGAGGAAACUGCCGGUUCAAUGUUCUUCACAUGCCGGAGCGCUCUUCACAAGUGCCGGAGUUGUUAAUUUGACAGUGAACUACCCACUGGAGUGAGUUCACUAAAUGCCAGAGUGCAUUCUAAUGGUGCCGGAGUGCGUUUUACAAGUGCCGGAGUGCCUAUUUUACAGUCAACUAUUCGCUGGAGCGAGUUCAUCAAUUGUCGGAGGGAAUUCUAAAGAUGCUGGAGCACGUUUUACAUGUGCCGGACUGCCUAUUUAAUAGUGAACUAUUCUCCAGAGUGCAUUCCAUACGUGCCGGAGGUAAAAUUGGGAUAGUGGCUACAAGGAGGCCUUGUUCUUUCGCGAUGUGCAAGUUUUGAAAAUGAAAACAUAUGAAGUGACAAUGAUGAGCUUGUUAAUAGCUUGUACACAUUUGGAGGCUCUACAGAUGGGGAAAUGGGUUCAUUUGCAUAUCGAAAAGGAAAAGAUAGAAGUAGAUAUAUUUUUAGGUGCAGCAUUAGUGGACUUUUAUGCAAAAUGUGGAUUGAUAGAUAGUGCUUGGAGGGUCUUUAAGGGAAUGGCUAAGAAGAAUGUCUUAACUUGGACUUCUUUGAUUGGAGGUUUCUCGAUGUGUCGUCAAGGCCAAAAUGCUAUACAGCUCUUUGAAGAGACGCAAAAACUGGACUAAAAGCUGAUGCCAUUACUUUUGUUGGGGUUCUAACGGCUUGUAGUCAUGGAUGUUUGGUUGAAGAGGGUCGCCAAUAUUUUGAUAUUGAUUCAAUGAUGAUGACUGUAUGAUAUCGAGCCUAAAGUUGAGCACUACAGCUGUAUGGUUGAUAUAUUGGGUAGGGCUGGCCACUUGGUUGAGGCUGAGGAAUAGAUAAGAAACAUGCCCAUGAAACCGGAUGCUUUUGUUUUGGGAAGCCUACUUAAUGCUUGUAGGAUUCAGGGUAACCUUGCGAUUGCUCAAAGAGUAGCUCAAAAGGCUUCUAGAGUUAGACCCUAGUAAUGGAGGAGUUGCACGUUGUAGUACUUGUGUUCCAUUGUUUUUUCUUCUCCAACUUGAUCUCUCAAAUCAACAGCAACGGCACCUGCAAAAUUAUGAAAAUCAAGAAGUUCUAGUCAAAUAAAUUAAGGCAAUAUGAGAUAGAAAGACGUAAGAAAUUGAGUACCAAAUUGAAAUGGAUUGAUGUUGUAAACCUACUCUACAAAACCCUUCAGUAGUGUAUGGACGCUCACGAAUUCUUGAAUGAAGGCGUUGAUUGACUCUGAACAAGCAGUAGUAGUCAUCCUAUCAAAGAAAGAGCUCUUCAAAUAUGGAAAUGCUCAAUGCUUGCAAUGUGAAUACAAAUUUUGAA